RNAcentral lists this ribosomal RNA (684 nucleotides) under halophilic archaeon. Its description in RNAcentral is "bacterial SSU rRNA". It matches the Rfam family "Archaeal small subunit ribosomal RNA", at positions 89 to 771 of the family's 1478-position model. Lineage: Archaea; Methanobacteriati; Methanobacteriota; Halobacteria; Halobacteriales. The record is from RNAcentral.
CUCAGUAACACGUGGCCAAACUACCCUGUCGAUCGGGACACCCUCGGGAAACUGAGGCUAAUCCCGGAUACGGCUCGCUGCCUGGAGGUGGCGCGAGCUCGAAACGUUCAGGCGCGACAGGAUGUGGCUGCGGCCGAUUAGGUAGACGGUGGGGUAACGGCCCACCGUGCCGAUAAUCGGUACGGGUUGUGAAAGCAAGAGCCCGGAGACGGAAUCUGAGACAAGAUUCCGGGCCCUACGGGGCGCAGCAGGCGCGAAACCUUUACACUGCACGCGAGUGCGAUAGGGGGACUCCAAGUGCGAGGGCAUACAGUCCUCGCUUUUCACCACCGUAAGGAGGUGGUAGAAUAAGUGCUGGGCAAGACCGGUGCCAGCCGCCGCGGUAAUACCGGCAGCACGAGUGAUGACCGCUAUUAUUGGGCCUAAAGCGUCCGUAGCCGGCCAGGCAAGUCCAUCGGGAAAUCCGCACGCCUAACGUGCGGGCGUCCGGUGGAAACUGCUUGGCUUGGGACCGGAAGAUCCAGAGGGUACGUCUGGGGUAGGAGUGAAAUCCUGUAAUCCUGGACGGACCACCGGUGGCGAAAGCGCUCUGGAAAGACGGAUCCGACGGUGAGGGACGAAAGCUUGGGUCACGAACCGGAUUAGAUACCCGGGUAGUCCAAGCUGUAAACGAUGUCUGCUAGG